RNAcentral lists this ribosomal RNA (484 nucleotides) under uncultured bacterium. RNAcentral's name for it is "partial 16S ribosomal RNA". It matches the Rfam family "Bacterial small subunit ribosomal RNA", at positions 30 to 507 of the family's 1533-position model. The record is from RNAcentral.
AUUGAACGCUGGCGGCAGGCCUAACACAUGCAAGUCGAGCGGAUGAAGGGUGCUUGCUCCUGGAUUCAGCGGCGGACGGGUGAGUAAUGCCUAGGAAUCUGCCUGGUAGUGGGGGAUAACGUCCGGAAACGGGCGCUAAUACUGCAUACGACCUGAGGGUGAAAGUGGGGGAUCUUCGGACCUCACGCUAUCAGAUGAGCCUAGGUCGGAUUUGCUAGUUGGUGGGUUAAAGGCCUACCAAGGCGACGAUCCGUAACUGGUCUGAGAGGAUGAUCAGUCACACUGGAACUGAGACACGGUCCAGACUCCUACGGGAGGUAGCAGUGGGGAAUAUUAGACAAUGGGCGAAAGCCUGAUCCAGCCAUGCCGCGUGUGUGAAGAAGGUCUUCGGAUUGUAAAGCACUUUAAGUUGGGAGGAAGGGCAGUAAGUUAAUACCUUGCUGUUUUGACGUUACCAACAGAAUAAGCACCGGCUAACUUCGUG